Long non-coding RNA from Polyodon spathula (Mississippi paddlefish), 613 nucleotides. RefSeq lists it as uncharacterized. The record is from RefSeq and is a predicted model, not a curated record. Lineage: Eukaryota; Metazoa; Chordata; Actinopteri; Acipenseriformes; Polyodontidae. The transcript has 4 exons.
AAAUCAACUGAAUACUGGGUAUGGGACAGAAAGAAUAGCCACAUGCAUUUCAAAUAAUGGAUUUUAAGCUUUUAAAAUGGAUAUAUUGGAAGUUAUGUCUACAAAAAAAGGAUCCAUUUGAUUUAUUUUUAACAAGAUACACUGAUGACUGGUGUUUUGGAUACUAUUCCCACAGGGCUGUCUUUGCAGUUGUGCUGCUCGUGAAUCUUUAUGGUGGCCAAAUCUAAUGAGAACAUCUGGAGCGAGCCUACAGUACCAUGAACACUGCAUGACUGACCUGGUGAUUGACAAGCAUUUGGAGCAUACUGUAAAAGACAUGGAGACAUUAAGAGAAGACCGACUGGCUUUGUGUCAACUGAUUGACAAUCUUCCGCUGCAGACAAUGGAAAACACUUUGAGGAAACAAAAAUAAUUCACACUGUCUUGGUUUCUGGGUGCUUCGUAUUUUUAGAAUCAUUGCAAAAUCUCAUACCUCAACUGCAUGCUUCUCAUUGUGGACGUAAAAAUGUGAAAACAAUUUAUUUACAGUAAACUGUAUAAAACUGGAUUUUAAUCUGACCUCAAGCACAAAAUAACCCAGGAAAUAUUGGAAAAUACAACUUUUUUUUCAUCA